This 410-nucleotide ribosomal RNA is filed under the name Globigerinoides ruber albus. RNAcentral describes it as "partial small subunit ribosomal RNA". It matches the Rfam family "Eukaryotic small subunit ribosomal RNA", at positions 1406 to 1636 of the family's 1831-position model. The record is from RNAcentral. Lineage: Eukaryota; Foraminifera; Rotaliida; Globigerinidae.
AUAAACUCGGGGGACUGCUGACUAUAACCAUUUCUCAAAACAGAGGAAGGUUGCGGCAAUAACAGGUCUGUGAUGCCCUCAGAUGUCCCGGGCUGCACACGUGCUACAAUGAGUGGCGCAAUGUGCUAAUGUUUUAAGGGAUAAGCGUGCGGCCAGUAGAACGUCGGAAAUUCCCCUGGCGUCGCCUGCGCACGAUUAUCAGCCUUCCCUUAACAGGGCGGGCAACCUUUUCAAAAUACCGGUUUGAUAUUAAAGUAUAGAGUCGUUUUUUUUGGAUGGUGGUUUACGAACCAAUACCAUCCGCAACUGCUCGCGAGUUUGUGGUUCUGGUGACUCAUGGUGGGGACCGAUGUUUGUAAUUGUUUGUCGCGUGUCAACUAGGAAUGCCUUGUACUGUCGAUUCACUAAGU